AAGUCGUAACAAGGUUUCCGUAGGUGAACCUGCGGAAGGAUCAUUAUUGAAUUCAAAACUGGAUGUGAUAGCUGCUGGCUUUCGGGCAUGUGCACAUCUCAUUCAUUCAUCUCAUACCUCUGUGCACUUUUCAUGGAAUGGCUGGUCGCUGAGGGCGUCGAUGCCCAAGGCAGGAUGCUGUUUCAUGUACUUCAUAAACCACAACAUAGUUUAGAAUGUAUACUGUGUGUCUACACAUUUAAAUACAACUUUCAGCAACGGAUCUCUUGGCUCUC
RNAcentral lists this unclassified non-coding RNA (275 nucleotides) under Rigidoporus sp. RNAcentral describes it as "partial internal transcribed spacer region". The stretch from base 1 to 46 matches the Rfam family "Eukaryotic small subunit ribosomal RNA", at positions 1786 to 1831 of the family's 1831-position model. Lineage: Eukaryota; Fungi; Basidiomycota; Agaricomycetes; Polyporales; Meripilaceae. The record is from RNAcentral.